AUUGGGCUGGCCAAAAAGUUCGUUUGGGUUUUUCCAUACAAUGUUACAAAAAACCCGAACAAACUUUUUGGCCAAUCCAAU
This 81-nucleotide microRNA precursor is filed under the name Tursiops truncatus (common bottlenose dolphin). Its description in RNAcentral is "miRNA (ENSTTRG00000024927.1)". Lineage: Eukaryota; Metazoa; Chordata; Mammalia; Artiodactyla; Delphinidae. The record is from RNAcentral.